UCCGAGUUGACCCCGGCAGUCUCCUAUGAGUUCCCACCAUCACGUGCUGGCAACAUAGAACGAGGGUUGCGCUCGUUGCGGGACUUAACCCAACAUCUCACGACACGAGCUGACGACAACCAUGCACCACCUGUACACCAACCUCAAAGAGGAGGACCUGUUUCCAGGACGGUCUGGUGUAUGUCAAGCCUUGGUAAGGUUCUUCGCGUUGCAUCGAAUUAAUCCGCAUGCUCCGCCGCUUGUGCGGGCCCCCGUCAAUUCCUUUGAGUUUUAGCCUUGCGACCGUACUCCCCAGGCGGGGCACUUAAUGCGUUAGCUACGGCGCGGAGAACGUGGAAUGUCCCCCACACCUAGUGCCCAACGUUUACGGCAUGGACUAC
Molecule: unclassified non-coding RNA, 380 nt
Filed under: uncultured Brevibacteriaceae bacterium
Lineage: Bacteria; Bacillati; Actinomycetota; Actinomycetes; Micrococcales; Brevibacteriaceae
Description: contains 16S-23S intergenic spacer region
Source: RNAcentral